RNAcentral lists this long non-coding RNA (1066 nucleotides) under Strigops habroptila (Kakapo). RNAcentral's name for it is "lncRNA (ENSSHBG00005001803.1)". The record is from RNAcentral. Lineage: Eukaryota; Metazoa; Chordata; Aves; Psittaciformes; Psittacidae.
UUUUUAUUACAUAUCUCUCUAGGCCCAUGUCAGAGAAGACAGCAUGCCAGGUGAGGAGCAAACAGUGCCAUGCAGCACAACAAGGAAAGGGAACAGCUGUGGGGUAAAACACCAACACGGAUUCUGUAUGGAGAGGAGAACUGCUGUUGAAAAGCAAUGCUGUUACAAGGGGGUUUCACAAAAACUUCCCUGUUCUGUGAAAACCUGAUCUGAGAUGGAGGGAAUUCCAGAGUCAGCCUAAAGUGAGGCAGUAAAAAGGUGAAGCAAAUGAGGGAGCUGGAGGGAAUCCCAGACAGUCAGAUGCCUGUGCAGAGACCCCACUCUCCUGCACACACCGUGUAGGGCCAUGCAGCUCUACAAAAGCCGCAAACUCUUGGAGUCAGAGCUCAAACUCUCCUGACAUCACGCUUCCUGUGCAGCGUGACUGCACGCUUUGUACACAAAACAAGGAAAACAUCACAGUAACCAUCACUGACUUCAUGAUUCGAGAGGCAGCUGCCCAGAAGACUUCUUCAGCUGCCAGAUGUAUCCACUGCCCUGUGAGCACAUCCAAGUAUGUUUCUCCUUAAGUGAUCGAUCACGGUAGGGCUGAAGAUUAUUUUUUUUCUUUCUCACAGCAAAUCACUUUUCUCAUUUUUUUGUGUAUCCAGUGGCUGAGACGAAACAUGUUUUCCUGCAGAUAUGAGCUCAGCUUGUGAGUGCUAUGGACAUUGUUUUAUUGACAAAAGACUUGCUGCUCGCUAAAAAUACCCAGCUUUUGAAGUAGAAUGAUCCUUCUUCAGCAUCUCUAGACUUCAGAGAAACUCAGAAGCCAGUAUGAUUUGCUACAACCCACCCCCUCAGCCUGCCCCAGUAUGAAAUUAUCUUAAAGGAGAAAAAGUAAAAUGAAAGUAUUGAAAAUGUUUCUCCAACAUUUCCACUUCCCUGAGGAAGAUUCUAGGGCAAAACCAGGUAGCAUUGGCAGGACCACUGCAGACUUUCAAAGAGGUACUCAUCUGUAUUUACAAUUACAAUGCGGAUUUACUAAUAACUCUCAAGAAAACAAGAUUGUUGGUGAAGCGUCAUC